UACGUAGGGGGCAAGCGUUGUCCGGAUUUAUUGGGCGUAAAGAGCGUGUAGGCGGCCAGAUAGGUCGGUUGUGAAAACUGGAGGCUUAACCUUCAGACGUCGAUCGAAACCAUCUGGCUAGAGUCCGGAAGAGGAGAAUGGAAUUCCUGGUGUAGCGGUGAAAUGCGCAGAUAUCAGGAAGAACACCCGUGGCGAAGGCGGUUCUCUGGGACGGUACUGACGCUGAGACGCGAAAGCGUGGGGAGCGAACAGG
This 253-nucleotide ribosomal RNA is filed under the name uncultured bacterium. Its description in RNAcentral is "partial 16S ribosomal RNA". It matches the Rfam family "Bacterial small subunit ribosomal RNA", at positions 524 to 776 of the family's 1533-position model. The record is from RNAcentral.